This 163-nucleotide small RNA is filed under the name Theobroma cacao (cacao). Its description in RNAcentral is "sRNA Tc06v2_g005180". The record is from RNAcentral. Lineage: Eukaryota; Viridiplantae; Streptophyta; Magnoliopsida; Malvales; Malvaceae.
AGACAAUUGGUAGAUUUCAAGUAAUCAAGCAAUCAAAGGUGGUGAAUCUUCCGAAAGAGGGCAAAGAAAUUGCAUUCGAGGAUCAAUAGUCGGAGUACUCCAAAAUUCAUACUACUGAUACAGCUCAAGAUAGUCGGUAAAUGGCUCAUUUCGUUGAGGGCUA